Molecule: ribosomal RNA, 132 nt
Filed under: Propionibacterium freudenreichii
Lineage: Bacteria; Bacillati; Actinomycetota; Actinomycetes; Propionibacteriales; Propionibacteriaceae
Source: RNAcentral
CUUUAAUUCUUGUAGAUUGUUGUGAAGAGUUUUGUUCGCGUCCACUGUGUCGUUCCCGGUAUACGGUCGGGAACCUCCUGUUCAUGCBGSCUUSUUGUGGUUUUUGUGUGGGGUUUUAYACGUGGUADUACC